CCUCGUUCCGCUUGAGUUGUGAUGACAGAUUCACUGAUGCAUCACAACCAACGUGAAUGCGGUC
RNAcentral lists this microRNA precursor (64 nucleotides) under Eisenia fetida (common brandling worm). RNAcentral's name for it is "Efe-Mir-67-P3_pre stem-loop". Lineage: Eukaryota; Metazoa; Annelida; Clitellata; Crassiclitellata; Lumbricidae. The record is from RNAcentral.